AAUAAGAGACAGGUGAGUCAUCGAAUCUUUGAACGCACAUUGCGCCCCUUGGUAUUCCAUGGGGCAUGCCUGUUCGAGCGUCAUCUACACCCUCAAGCACUGCUUGGUGAUGGGCGUCUGUCCCGCCUUCGCGCGCGGACUCGCCCCAAAGGCAUUGGCAGCGGUCCCGAUCGCCCUCUCGCGCAGCACAUUUGCGCUUCUCGAGGCGGCGGGUUCGCGUCCACGAAGCCCUUUUUACCACGUUUGACCUCGGAUCAGGUAGGGAUACCCGCUGAACUUAAGCAUAUCAAUAAGCGGAGG
This 300-nucleotide unclassified non-coding RNA is filed under the name uncultured Didymosphaeriaceae. RNAcentral's name for it is "sequence contains 5.8S rRNA gene, ITS2". The stretch from base 1 to 83 matches the Rfam family "5.8S ribosomal RNA", at positions 70 to 154 of the family's 154-position model. The record is from RNAcentral. Lineage: Eukaryota; Fungi; Ascomycota; Dothideomycetes; Pleosporales; Didymosphaeriaceae.